GGAAGUAAAAGUUGUAACAAGGUUUCCGUAGGUGAACCUGCGGAAGGAUCAUUACCGAGUGAGGGCCCUCUGGGUCCAACCUCCCACCCGUGUUUAUCGUACCUUGUUGCUUCGGCGGGCCCGCCUCACGGCCGCCGGGGGGCACCCGCCCCCGGGCCCGCGCCCGCCGAAGACACCAUUGAACGCUGUCUGAAGAUUGCAGUCUGAGCAUCUUAGCUAAAUCAGUUAAAACUUUCAACAACGGAUCUCUUGGUUCCG
This 258-nucleotide unclassified non-coding RNA is filed under the name plant metagenome. Its description in RNAcentral is "partial contains small subunit ribosomal RNA, internal transcribed spacer 1, and 5.8S ribosomal RNA". The stretch from base 1 to 54 matches the Rfam family "Eukaryotic small subunit ribosomal RNA", at positions 1778 to 1831 of the family's 1831-position model. The record is from RNAcentral.